This 448-nucleotide ribosomal RNA is filed under the name uncultured bacterium. RNAcentral's name for it is "bacterial SSU rRNA". It matches the Rfam family "Bacterial small subunit ribosomal RNA", at positions 111 to 558 of the family's 1533-position model. The record is from RNAcentral.
UAACACGUAUCCAACCUGCCGAUAACUCGGGGAUAGCCUUUCGAAAGAAAGAUUAAUAUCCGAUAGUAUAUUAAAACCGCAUGGUUUUACUAUUAAAGAAUUUCGGUUAUCGAUGGGGAUGCGUUCCAUUAGUUUGUUGGCGGGGUAACGGCCCACCAAGACUACGAUGGAUAGGGGUUCUGAGAGGAAGGUCCCCCACAUUGGAACUGAGACACGGUCCAAACUCCUACGGGAGGCAGCAGUGAGGAAUAUUGGUCAAUGGACGAGAGUCUGAACCAGCCAAGUAGCGUGAAGGAUGACUGCCCUAUGGGUUGUAAACUUCUUUUAUAUGGGAAUAAAGUAUUCCACGUGUGGGAUUUUGUAUGUACCAUAUGAAUAAGGAUCGGCUAACUCCGUGCCAGCAGCCGCGGUAAUACGGAGGAUCCGAGCGUUAUCCGGAUUUAUUGGG